AAUGCUCUGCAUAUAGUCUGCAGUACCUAAUGUACUUCUGCAUAAUGUUUAAUUUGGUAUCUGUUCCUUCCAGGUCCUAACUGUUCCAGCCUGGCCACUGGAGAACUGUUGCUGCACUACCUCAAGAUUUCUGCCCCCCUGGUUGAGGUCCUAAUGUCUGCCGUGUUCGGAAAGAGCUCGUUGGCUGCUGAAGUGUUGCUGUGCUGGUGGAGCGGGAAGCUCUCCUGUUGUACACUGGCACGCCCUCUUGGUCAUCAAGGAAGUGGGACGUCUUGUUGGAACUGGGGAAAACCAGGCCAAGUCAAUUCAACCCUGUGACUGUGUUACGAUGUGUAAAUAAAUCUAAAAAUUAA
This is a long non-coding RNA of Salvelinus sp. IW2-2015, 353 nucleotides long. RefSeq lists it as uncharacterized. Lineage: Eukaryota; Metazoa; Chordata; Actinopteri; Salmoniformes; Salmonidae. The record is from RefSeq and is a predicted model, not a curated record. The transcript has 4 exons.